Molecule: long non-coding RNA, 538 nt
Filed under: Mus spicilegus (steppe mouse)
Lineage: Eukaryota; Metazoa; Chordata; Mammalia; Rodentia; Muridae
Description: lncRNA (ENSMSIG00000003799.1)
Source: RNAcentral
CAAUCAUCCUAUUAUUCUCUUUUCAGUAACUUACUUCAAGGAUAGGUUCCUUCAAGCUAAGGCUUCCAUAGCUAUAGUGCAUUUGAAAACCUCCAGGUUAAAUUAUCUCUGAGGUUCUAAGACUCAGGAUGCUAAUUCCACAGUCCAAACCAAACUGUUUUGCAUAGCAGGGACCAAACACCAUCUCUUUGGUUUUAGAGAAGAGAAAUCAACACAGUCUAUUUUGCCUGACUUGUGGAAAGAUGCUGAUGGAGCUAAGACCUGAGGAGCAUCCUUUGAUGAGUCUACUUAGACAUGAACUGCACCAAGAGCAACUCGAACCAAAGGACACAUCAACAAACGACAACAACACUUCUCAUCAGGGAGGUAAACGAUGUGGCUGACGUUUGUAAUUCCUUGGACGUGCUGGUAGGUGGUUGUCUCAGAGGGAGAAUGAGUGACAGGGAGCUGCCAGCAGACACAGGAAAAGAAUACAAAUGAUUUUCCUUGAAAGGAUGCAAGUAAGAGCUUUCCUGCAGGAAGGCAGAGGUGCAGGGGA